RNAcentral lists this ribosomal RNA (253 nucleotides) under uncultured bacterium. Its description in RNAcentral is "partial 16S ribosomal RNA". It matches the Rfam family "Bacterial small subunit ribosomal RNA", at positions 524 to 776 of the family's 1533-position model. The record is from RNAcentral.
UACAGAGGGGGCAAGCGUUGUUCGGAAUUACUGGGCGUAAAGGGCGCGUAGGCGGCCUUCUAAGUCGAACGUGAAAUCCCCGGGCUCAACCCGGGAACUGCGUCCGAUACUGGAAGGCUUGAAUCCGGGAGAGGGAUGCGGAAUUCCAGGUGUAGCGGUGAAAUGCGUAGAUAUCGGGAAGAACACCAGUGGCGAAGGCGGCUGCCUGGCCUGUAACUGACGCUGAGACGCGAAAGCGUGGGGAGCGAACCGG